This 496-nucleotide ribosomal RNA is filed under the name uncultured bacterium. RNAcentral's name for it is "partial 16S ribosomal RNA". It matches the Rfam family "Bacterial small subunit ribosomal RNA", at positions 29 to 507 of the family's 1533-position model. The record is from RNAcentral.
AUGAACGCUGGCGGCGUGCCUCAUCCCUGCCAGUCGAGCGAACAGACGAGGAGCUUGCUCCUCUGACGUUAGCGGCGGACGGGUGAGUAACACGUGGAUAACCUACCUAUAAGACUGGGAUAACUUCGGGAAACCGGAGCUAAUACCGGAUAAUAUAUUGAACCGCAUGGUUCAAUAGUGAAAGACGGUUUUGCUGUCACUUAUAGAUGGAUCCGCGCCGCAUUAGCUAGUUGGUAAGGUAACGGCUUACCAAGGCAACGAUGCGUAGCCGACCUGAGAGGGUGAUCGGCCACACUGGAACUGAGACACGGUCCAGACUCCUACGGGAGGCAGCAGUAGGGAAUCUUCCGCAAUGGGCGAAAGCCUGACGGAGCAACGCCGCGUGAGUGAUGAAGGUCUUCGGAUCGUAAAACUCUGUUAUUAGGGAAGAACAAAUGUGUAAGUAACUAUGCACGUCUUGACGGUACCUAAUCAGAAAGCCACGGCUAACUACGUG